This 326-nucleotide long non-coding RNA is filed under the name Malus domestica (apple). Its description in RNAcentral is "long non-coding RNA (MDOM_LNC003709)". Lineage: Eukaryota; Viridiplantae; Streptophyta; Magnoliopsida; Rosales; Rosaceae. The record is from RNAcentral.
UUAGCUCCACUACCACUUGAAAAAAACACUCACUAAAACUACUACUAAUCUCCCACAAAAACUGCAUUCUUCAAACUUCAAAUUUGAAAACUAGCACCUGGGUUUCUCCGGGAACUGUUCAAAUUUGAAAACUGGCACCUGGGCUUCUUCUGGGAAUUGUUCAAAUUUGAAACUGGCACCUGGGCUUCUUCUGGGAAUUGUUCAAAUUUGAAACUGGCACUUGGGUUUUUCUGGAUUUUUUUUUCCUGGGAUUUCAAAGAUAGCACAUUUUUUUGUGUUCCUGCCCUGCCCAUUUGUGAGCUGAAAGAUCCAUUUUUGAAGUUUCG